UACGUAGGGUGCAAGCGUUGUCCGGAAUUACUGGGCGUAAAGAGCUCGUAGGUGGUUUGUCGCGUUGUUCGUGAAAACUCACAGCUUAACUGUGGGCGUGCGGGCGAUACGGGCAGACUGGAGUACUGCAGGGGAGACUGGAAUUCCUGGUGUAGCGGUGGCAUGCGCAGAUAUCAGGAGGAACACCGGUGGCGAAGGCGGGUCUCUGGGCAGUAACUGACGCUGAGGAGCGAAAGCGUGGGGAGCGAACAGG
This 253-nucleotide ribosomal RNA is filed under the name uncultured bacterium. Its description in RNAcentral is "partial 16S ribosomal RNA". It matches the Rfam family "Bacterial small subunit ribosomal RNA", at positions 524 to 776 of the family's 1533-position model. The record is from RNAcentral.